ACCAUGCGGCGUGCUAAUACAUGCAAGUCGAGCGAGUGAAUUAAUUGAUCCCUUCGGGGUGACGUUAAUGGAUCUAGCGGCGGACGGGUGAGUAACACGUGGGCAACCUGCCUGUAAGACUGGGAUAACUCGCGGAAACGCGAGCUAAUACCGGAUAACACUUCGAACCACAUGGUUUGAAGAUGAAAGGCGGCGCAAGCUGUCACUUACAGAUGGGCCCGCGGCGCAUUAGCUAGUUGGUGAGGUAACGGCUCACCAAGGCGACGAUGCGUAGCCGACCUGAGAGGGUGAUCGGCCACACUGGGACUGAGACACGGCCCAGACUCCUACGGGAGGCAGCAGUAGGGAAUCUUCCGCAAUGGACGAAAGUCUGACGGAGCAACGCCGCGUGAGUGAUGAAGGUUUUCGGAUUGUAAAACUCUGUUGUUAGGGAAGAACAAGUACAAUAGUAACUGAUUGUACCUUGACGGUACCUAACCAGAAAGCCCCGGCUAACUACGUGCCAGCAGCCGCGGUAAUACGUAGGGGGCAAGCGUUGUCCGGAAUUAUUGGGCGUAAAGCGCGCGCAGGCGGUCCUUUAAGUCUGAUGUGAAAGCCCACGGCUUAACCGUGGAGGGUCAUUGGAAACUGGAGGACUUGAGUGCAGAAGAGGAGAGUGGAAUUCCACGUGUAGCGGUGAAAUGCGUAGAGAUGUGGAGGAACACCAGUGGCGAAGGCGACUCUCUGGUCUGUAACUGACGCUGAGGCGCGAAAGCGUGGGGAGCGAACAGGAUUAGAUACCCUGGUAGUCCACGCCGUAAACGAUGAGUGCUAGUGUUAGGGGUUUCCGCCCCUUAGUGCUGAAGUUAACGCAUUAAGCACUCCGCCUGGGGAGUACGGCCGCAAGCUGAAACUCAAAAGAAUUGACGGGGGCCCGCACAAGCGGUGGAGCAUGUGGUUUAAUUCGAAGCAACGCGAGACUUACCAGGUCUUGACAUCUCUGACACCCUAGAGAUAGGCUUUCCCUUCCGGGACGGAUGACAGUGUGCAUGCUGUCGUCAGCUCAUGUCGUGAGAUGUGGUAGUCCGGCACGAGCGCAUCUGGUCCUAGUGGCAGCAAUAGUUGGCACUUCUAGAA
RNAcentral lists this ribosomal RNA (1116 nucleotides) under Paucisalibacillus globulus. RNAcentral describes it as "bacterial SSU rRNA". It matches the Rfam family "Bacterial small subunit ribosomal RNA", at positions 33 to 1146 of the family's 1533-position model. Lineage: Bacteria; Bacillati; Bacillota; Bacilli; Caryophanales; Bacillaceae. The record is from RNAcentral.